This 449-nucleotide ribosomal RNA is filed under the name uncultured bacterium. RNAcentral describes it as "bacterial SSU rRNA". It matches the Rfam family "Bacterial small subunit ribosomal RNA", at positions 354 to 796 of the family's 1533-position model. The record is from RNAcentral.
GUGGGGAAUCUUGCGCAAUGGGCGAAAGCCUGACGCAGCGACGCCGCGUGAGUGAUGAAGGCCUUCGGGUUGUAAAGCUCUGUGGAGGGGGACGAAUAAGGGUUGGCUAAUAUCCAGCUCGAUGACGGUACCCCUUUAGCAAGCACCGGCUAACUCUGUGCCAGCAGCCGCGGUAAGACAGAGGGUGCAAACGUUGUUCGGAAUUACUGGGCGUAAAGCGCGUGUAGGCCGCUUGGAAAGUCGGAUGUGAAAGCCCUGGGCUCAACCUAGGAAGUGCAUUCGAAACUUCCAAGCUGGAGUGCUGGAGAGGAAAGCGGAAUUCUCGGUGUAGAGGUGAAAUUCGUAGAUAUCGAGAGGAACACCGGUGGCGAAGGCGGCUUUCUGGACAGUCACUGACGCUGAGACGCGAAAGCGUGGGGAGCAAACAGGAUUAGAAACCCCAGUAGUCC